RNAcentral lists this ribosomal RNA (789 nucleotides) under uncultured Neocallimastigales. RNAcentral's name for it is "partial large subunit ribosomal RNA". It matches the Rfam family "Eukaryotic large subunit ribosomal RNA", at positions 24 to 649 of the family's 3401-position model. Lineage: Eukaryota; Fungi; Neocallimastigomycota; Neocallimastigomycetes; Neocallimastigales. The record is from RNAcentral.
UACGACUACAUAUCAGGCAUAUCAAUAAGCGGAGGAAAAGAAACUAACAAGGAUUCCCUUAGUAACGGCGAGUGAAGCGGGAAGAGCUCAAAUUUGAAAUCUUCAAGGGUUCUACCUUUACGAAUUGUAGGUUUAAAGAAGUGUUUUCUGUUGGAGUUUUCGGUAAAAGUUCUUUGGAAUAGGACAUCAUAGAGGGUGAGAAUCCCGUAUUUGACCAGUUACUUUUCAGCUGUGUGAUACACUUUCAAAGAGUCGGAUUGUUUGGGAAUGCAGUCCAAAAUGGGUGGUAAAUUUCAUCUAAAGCUAAAUAUUGGCGAGAGACCGAUAGCGAACAAGUACCGUGAGGGAAAGAUGAAAAGAACUUUGAAAAGAGAGUUAAACAGUACGUGAAAUUGUCAAAAGGGAAGCGUUUGACACCAGUGUUGUUUAGUUGAAAAAUCAAUUACGAAUAGGUUUUGAUUCUAGUAGUAUUGACCUUCAUCAGCUUUCUUCACUUCUUCUCGAGUAUUAUUAAUGCACUUUUCAGGUUAACAAGUCAACAUCAAUUUCUUUUGUUGUAAAAGGAGUAUAGGAAGGUGGCUUGCUCUUUCGGCGCAAGUGUUUAUAGCCCUUUAUACUCUACAAUCCGGAGAGAUUGAGGUCUGCAGCGUAGAUCCUUCGGGGUUAGAUACAUUUGUGCUAAGCUAGUAGCCUUGUAUAGACAACUUGUUGACUAUGCUUCAGUCAUGUAGGCUUACUCGCUGAUGCUAUUUUACCUACGCUUAGGAUGUUGAGUAGCGACAUACGCAC